UUUAUUAAGAGUUUGAUCCUGGCUCAGGAUGAACGCUGGCGGCGUGCCUAACACAUGCAAGUCGAGCGUGAAGCUUAUGACGGAUACUUCGGUUGACGGAGUAAGUGGAAAGCGGCGGACGGGUGAGUAACGCGUAGGCAACCUGCCCCUUACAGAGGGAUAGCCUCGGGAAACCGGGAUUAAUACCUCAUAAUGCGAAGAGACCACAUGGUGAUUUCGCCAAAGAUUUAUCGGUGAGGGAUGGGCCUGCGUCUGAUUAGCUGGUUGGUGAGGUAACGGCUCACCAAGGCGACGAUCAGUAGCCGACCUGAGAGGGUAAUCGGCCACAUUGGAACUGAGACACGGUCCAGACUCCUACGGGAGGCAGCAGUGGGGAAUAUUGCACAAUGGGCGCAAGCCUGAUGCAGCAACGCCGCGUGAAGGAAGAAGGCCUUUGGGUCGUAAACUUCUGUCCUAGGGGAAGAUAAUGACGGUACCCUUGGAGGAAGCCCCGGCUAACUACGUGCCAGCAGCCGCGGUAAUACGUAUGGGGCGAGCGUUGUCCGGAAUUAUUGGGCGUAAAGGGUACGUAGGCGGUUUAUUAAGUCAGGUGUGAAAGCGUGAGGCUUAACCUCAUUAAGCACUUGAAACUGAUAGACUU
RNAcentral lists this ribosomal RNA (640 nucleotides) under Bacillota bacterium. Its description in RNAcentral is "bacterial SSU rRNA". It matches the Rfam family "Bacterial small subunit ribosomal RNA", at positions 1 to 643 of the family's 1533-position model. The record is from RNAcentral. Lineage: Bacteria; Bacillati; Bacillota.